GACUUCUUAGUGCAGUGGUAGCAUACCUAUCUCCAAUGUGGAAAAUGGGUGACUUGAGUUCAAAUCUCAAAGAUGUUA
This is a transfer RNA of 78 nucleotides. It matches the Rfam family "tRNA". From Rfam's summary of the family: Transfer RNA (tRNA) molecules are approximately 80 nucleotides in length. Their secondary structure includes four short double-helical elements and three loops (D, anti-codon, and T loops). The record is from Rfam.